This 408-nucleotide ribosomal RNA is filed under the name uncultured bacterium. Its description in RNAcentral is "partial 16S ribosomal RNA". It matches the Rfam family "Bacterial small subunit ribosomal RNA", at positions 28 to 526 of the family's 1533-position model. The record is from RNAcentral.
GACGAACGCUGACGGCGUGCUUAACACAUGCAAGUCGAAGGGAGUGGCGAAAGGGUGAGUAACACGUGAGUAACAUGGCCUUUUCUUUGGGAUAAGCCUGGGAAACUGGGUCUCAUAAUGGAUGGAUUGGGAUGGGCUCGCGGCUUAUCAGCUUGUUGGGGGGGUGAUGGCGUACCAAGGCUUUGACGGGUAGCCGGCCUGAGAGGGUGGACGGUGACCCUGGGACGGGGAUACGGCCCAGAGUCCGCCGGGAGGAAGCAGUGGAGGAUAUGGAACAAAGGACGAAAGUCUGAUGCAGCGACGUCGUGUGGGGGAUGAAGGUCUUCGGGUUGUAAACUCCUGUCACCCGCGGAAUGGUAGUGGGUAAAUAAGCGCCGGCUAACUACGUGCCAGCAGCCGCGGUAAUUC